This 443-nucleotide ribosomal RNA is filed under the name uncultured Candidatus Tammella sp. Its description in RNAcentral is "bacterial SSU rRNA". It matches the Rfam family "Bacterial small subunit ribosomal RNA", at positions 338 to 795 of the family's 1533-position model. Lineage: Bacteria; Thermotogati; Synergistota; Synergistia; Synergistales; Synergistaceae. The record is from RNAcentral.
CCUACGGGAGGCAGCAGUGGGGAAUAUUGGGCAAUGGGGGGAACCCUGACCCAGCGACGCCGCGUGAGUGAAGAAGUCCUUCGGGACGUAAAGCUCUGUUGUGUGGGAAGAAGCGGAUGACGGUACCACACGAGGAAGCCCCGGCAAACUACGUGCCAGCAGCCGCGGUAAUACGUAGGGGGCGAGCGUUGUCCGGAAUUACUGGGCGUAAAGGGCACGCAGGCGGAAAGGUAAGUCAGUUGUAAAAGGCUGUGGCUCAACCACAGGAAGACGACGGAUACUGUCAGUCUAGAGUAUGUGAGAGGGAAGUGGAAUUCCCGGUGUAGCGGUGAAAUGCGUAGAUAUCGGGAGGAAAACCAGUGGCGAAGGCGGCUUCCUGGCACAUAACUGACGCUCAUGUGCGAAAGCUAGGGUAGCGAACGGAAUUAGAUACCCGGGUAGUC